This 254-nucleotide ribosomal RNA is filed under the name uncultured bacterium. RNAcentral's name for it is "partial 16S ribosomal RNA". It matches the Rfam family "Bacterial small subunit ribosomal RNA", at positions 524 to 776 of the family's 1533-position model. The record is from RNAcentral.
GACGGAGGGUGCUAGCGUUGUUCGGAAUCACUGGGCGUAAAGGGCGCGUAGGCGGCCUUGCAAGUCGGUUGGUGAAAGCCCGGGGCUCAACCCCGGAGGUGCGGCCGAGACUGCAGGGCUGGAGGCCGGAAGAGGAGGGUGGAAUACCCAGUGUAGAGGUGAAAUUCGUAGAUAUUGGGUGGAACACCGGUGGCGAAAGCGGCUCUCUGGUCCGGACCUGACGCUGAGGCGCGAAAGCUAGGGGAGCGAACAGG